GUAACCACACAGGCCGGGUGAUCAGCAGCCGCUCCCGCAAGCUCACUGUGCGUGCUGGUUGCUGGGACCCGCCUGCCUGAACCCCUCUGGCAUCAGGUACAAAGUUCAGGCUGGUGGCUCCCAGAGGGUGUGCUCCGGUCUCACCAGGGUCUUCCAUGGCUGGGAGCUCCUUCAGCUUCUCCUGGGACUCAGGAAGAGAAUCCAACCCCCAAGGCACAGGCGUGCACAUUCCUGGCGAUGACCAAAGCCCAGUCCACCCUAAGGGGCCGCACUUGGUACCAGUAGCUACUGGCUGUCACUAACUGGCUUACUGGACCCUCUUCACCUAAA
Molecule: long non-coding RNA, 330 nt
Organism: Rattus rattus (black rat)
Lineage: Eukaryota; Metazoa; Chordata; Mammalia; Rodentia; Muridae
Exons: 3
Source: RefSeq, a predicted model, not a curated record